Molecule: ribosomal RNA, 253 nt
Filed under: uncultured bacterium
Lineage: Bacteria
Description: partial 16S ribosomal RNA
Rfam family: Bacterial small subunit ribosomal RNA
Source: RNAcentral
UACGAAGGGGGCUAGCGUUGUUCGGAAUUACUGGGCGUAAAGCGCGUGUAGGCGGGCCGUUAAGUCGGGGGUGAAAGCCCAGAGCUCAACUCUGGCAUUGCCUUCGAUACUGGCGGCCUGGAGCAUGAUAGAGGCGAGUGGAAUUGCGAGUGUAGAGGUGAAAAUCGUAGAUAUUCGCAGGAACACCAGUGGCGAAGGCGACUCGCUGGAUCAUUGCUGACGCUGAGACGCGAAAGCGUCGGGAGCAAACAGG